This 267-nucleotide ribosomal RNA is filed under the name uncultured bacterium. RNAcentral's name for it is "partial 16S ribosomal RNA". It matches the Rfam family "Bacterial small subunit ribosomal RNA", at positions 793 to 1055 of the family's 1533-position model. The record is from RNAcentral.
GUCCACGCCUAAACGAUGUCAACUGGUUGUUGGGUCUUCACUGACUCAGUAACGAAGCUAACGCGUGAAGUUGACCGCCUGGGGAGUACGGCCGCAAGGUUGAAACUCAAAGGAAUUGACGGGGACCCGGCCACAAGCGGUGGAUGAUGUGGUUUAAUUUCGAUGCAACGCGAAAACCUUAACCCACCUUUGUACAUGUACGGAAGAUUUAAGAGAUUAGAUUGUGCUCGAAAGAGAGCCGUAACACAGGUGCUGCAUGGCUGUCGU